Molecule: long non-coding RNA, 317 nt
Organism: Cimex lectularius (bed bug)
Lineage: Eukaryota; Metazoa; Arthropoda; Insecta; Hemiptera; Cimicidae
Exons: 2
Source: RefSeq, a predicted model, not a curated record
GAGCACAAUUGAUGUGGCAAUACUGUCCAAUACUGGCCAAAAAGAAGAACAUAUAGAUGUAUUUACAGAACGUUUACGUAUAAAUGAGAAUAGAGGCGCGGCCGUUGGAGAAGGCAGAUGUUCAGCUAAGAUGGCCGAGAAGAGAAGCAUGGAAGCCGCCCAAUGGCCCCCGCUCGCUACCUGCUCACCCACUCGACGAAACUUGGCGACACUCAUCCACAUAACUUUCUCAAUUUUAAAUCAACCAGCCAAGAAAUUAAACCAAAGGAUAUUUCAGGAUUAUCUUGUACUUUGUAUUUUACGGAUAAAUUUUUUUU